CGGGGCGUAGCGCAGUCUGGUAGCGCACUGGUAUGGGGUGCCAGUGGUCGGAGGUUCAAAUCCUCUCGCCCCGACCA
Molecule: transfer RNA, 77 nt
Filed under: Deltaproteobacteria bacterium
Lineage: Bacteria; Pseudomonadati; Myxococcota; Myxococcia
Also listed under: 1 other name
Description: tRNA-Pro
Rfam family: tRNA
About the family: Transfer RNA (tRNA) molecules are approximately 80 nucleotides in length. Their secondary structure includes four short double-helical elements and three loops (D, anti-codon, and T loops). Further hydrogen bonds mediate the characteristic L-shaped molecular structure. tRNAs have two regions of fundamental functional importance: the anti-codon, which is responsible for specific mRNA codon recognition, and the 3' end, to which the tRNAs corresponding amino acid is attached (by aminoacyl-tRNA synthetases). tRNAs cope with the degeneracy of the genetic code in two manners: having more than one tRNA (with a specific anti-codon) for a particular amino acid; and 'wobble' base-pairing, i.e. permitting non-standard base-pairing at the 3rd anti-codon position.
Source: RNAcentral